Molecule: ribosomal RNA, 253 nt
Filed under: uncultured bacterium
Lineage: Bacteria
Description: partial 16S ribosomal RNA
Rfam family: Bacterial small subunit ribosomal RNA
Source: RNAcentral
UACGGAGGGGGCUAGCGUUGUUCGGAAUUACUGGGCGUAAAGGGCGCGUAGGCGGUCUUGUAAGUCUCGUGUGAAAUCCCUCGGCUUAACUGAGGAACUGCACGGGAUACUGCUUGACUUGAGUUCGGGAGAGGGAAGCGGAAUUCCGGGUGUAGCGGUGAAAUGCGUAGAUAUCCGGAGGAACACCGGUGGCGAAGGCGGCUUCCUGGACCGACACUGACGCUGAGGCGCGAAAGCUAGGGGAGCAAACGGG